Molecule: ribosomal RNA, 718 nt
Filed under: uncultured Actinobacillus sp.
Lineage: Bacteria; Pseudomonadati; Pseudomonadota; Gammaproteobacteria; Pasteurellales; Pasteurellaceae
Description: bacterial SSU rRNA
Rfam family: Bacterial small subunit ribosomal RNA
Source: RNAcentral
CGGACGGGUGAGUAAUGCUUGGGAAUCUGGCUUAUGGAGGGGGAUAACUACGGGAAACUGUAGCUAAUACCGCGUAGUAUCGGAAGAUGAAAGUGUGGGACCGCAAGGCCACAUGCCAUAAGAUGAGCCCAAGUGGGAUUAGGUAGUUGGUUAGGUAAAGGCUGACCAAGCCGACGAUCUCUAGCUGGUCUGAGAGGAUGACCAGCCACACUGGAACUGAGACACGGUCCAGACUCCUACGGGAGGCAGCAGUGGGGAAUAUUGCACAAUGGGGGGAACCCUGAUGCAGCCAUGCCGCGUGAAUGAAGAAGGCCUUCGGGUUGUAAAGUUCUUUCGGUGAUGAGGAAGGCAAGUAAGUGAAUAGCUUGCUUGAUUGACGUUAGUCACAGAAGAAGCACCGGCUAACUCCGUGCCAGCAGCCGCGGUAAUACGGAGGGUGCGAGCGUUAAUCGGAAUAACUGGGCGUAAAGGGCACGCAGGCGGUGACUUAAGUGAGAUGUGAAAGCCCCGAGCUUAACUUGGGAAUUGCAUUUCAUACUGGGUCGCUAGAGUACUUUAGGGAGGGGUAGAAUUCCACGUGUAGCGGUGAAAUGCGUAGAGAUGUGGAGGAAUACCGAAGGCGAAGGCAGCCCCUUGGGAAUGUACUGACGCUCAUGUGCGAAAGCGUGGGGAGCAAACAGGAUUAGAUACCCUGGUAGUCCACGCUGUAAACGCUGUC